Molecule: ribosomal RNA, 244 nt
Filed under: uncultured bacterium
Lineage: Bacteria
Description: partial 16S ribosomal RNA
Rfam family: Bacterial small subunit ribosomal RNA
Source: RNAcentral
GAGGAUGCGAGCGUUAUCCGGAUUUAUUGGGUUUAAAGGGUGCGUAGGCGGACCGGAAAGUCAGCGGUAAAAGCCCGGGGCUCAACCCCGGCGAGCCGUUGAAACUGCCGGACUAGAGACGGCGAGAAGUACGCGGAAUGCGCGGUGUAGCGGUGAAAUGCAUAGAUAUCGCGCAGAACUCCGAUUGCGAAGGCAGCGUACCGGUGCCGGACUGACGCUGAGGCACGAAAGCGUGGGUAGCGAA